GGUUAAGCGACUAAGCGUACACGGUGGAUGCCCUGGCAGUCAGAGGCGAUGAAGGACGUGCUAAUCUGCGAUAAGCGUCGGUAAGGUGAUAUGAACCGUUAUAACCGGCGAUUUCCGAAUGGGGAAACCCAGUGUGAUUCGUCACACUAUCAUUAACUGAAUCCAUAGGUUAAUGAGGCGAACCGGGGAACUGAAACAUCUAAGUACCCCGAGGAAAAGAAAUCAACCGAGAUUCCCCCAGUAGCGGCGAGCGAACGGGGAGCAGCCCAGAGCCUGAAUCAGUGUGUGUGUUAGUGGAAGCGUCUGGAAAGGCGCGCGAUACAGGGUGACAGCCCCGUACACAAAAAUGCACAUGCUGUGAGCUCGAUGAGUAGGGCGGGACACGUGGUAUCCUGUCUGAAUAUGGGGGGACCAUCCUCCAAGGCUAAAUACUCCUGACUGACCGAUAGUGAACCAGUACCGUGAGGGAAAGGCGAAAAGAACCCCGGCGAGGGGAGUGAAAAAGAACCUGAAACCGUGUACGUACAAGCAGUGGGAGCCUCUUUUAUGGGGUGACUGCGUACCUUUUGUAUAAUGGGUCAGCGACUUAUAUUCUGUAGCAAGGUUAACCGAAUAGGGGAGCCGAAGGGAAACCGAGUCUUAACUAGGCGUUAAGUUGCAGGGUAUAGACCCGAAACCCGGUGAUCUAGCCAUGGGCAGGUUGAAGGUUGGGUAACACUAACUGGAGGACCGAACCGACUAAUGUUGAAAAAUUAGCGGAUGACUUGUGGCUGGGGGUGAAAGGCCAAUCAAACCGGGAGAUAGCUGGUUCUCCCCGAAAGCUAUUUAGGUAGCGCCUCGUGAACUCAUCUCCGGGGGUAGAGCACUGUUUCGGCAAGGGGUCAUCCCGACUUACCAACCCGAUGCAAACUGCGAAUACCGGAGAAUGUUAUCACGGGAGACACACGGCGGGUGCUAACGUCCGUCGUGAAGAGGGAAACAACCCAGACCGCCAGCUAAGGUCCCAAAGUCAUGGUUAAGUGGGAAACGAUGUGGGAAGGCCCAGACAGCCAGGAUGUUGGCUUAGAAGCAGCCAUCAUUUAAAGAAAGCGUAAUAGCUCACUGGUCGAGUCGGCCUGCGCGGAAGAUGUAACGGGGCUAAACCAUGCACCGAAGCUGCGGCAGCGACGCUUAUGCGUUGUUGGGUAGGGGAGCGUUCUGUAAGCCUGCGAAGGUGUACUGUGAGGUAUGCUGGAGGUAUCAGAAGUGCGAAUGCUGACAUAAGUAACGAUAAAGCGGGUGAAAAGCCCGCUCGCCGGAAGACCAAGGGUUCCUGUCCAACGUUAAUCGGGGCAGGGUGAGUCGACCCCUAAGGCGAGGCCGAAAGGCGUAGUCGAUGGGAAACAGGUUAAUAUUCCUGUACUUGGUGUUACUGCGAAGGGGGACGGAGAAGGCUAUGUUGGCCGGGCGACGGUUGUCCCGGUUUAAGCGUGUAGGCUGGUUUUCCAGGCAAAUCCGGAAAAUCAAGGCUGAGGCGUGAUGACGAGGCACUACGGUGCUGAAGCAACAAAUGCCCUGCUUCCAGGAAAAGCCUCUAAGCAUCAGGUAACAUCAAAUCGUACCCCAAACCGACACAGGUGGUCAGGUAGAGAAUACCAAGGCGCUUGAGAGAACUCGGGUGAAGGAACUAGGCAAAAUGGUGCCGUAACUUCGGGAGAAGGCACGCUGAUAUGUAGGUGAAGCGACUUGCUCGUGGAGCUGAAAUCAGUCGAAGAUACCAGCUGGCUGCAACUGUUUAUUAAAAACACAGCACUGUGCAAACACGAAAGUGGACGUAUACGGUGUGACGCCUGCCCGGUGCCGGAAGGUUAAUUGAUGGGGUUAGCGGUAACGCGAAGCUCUUGAUCGAAGCCCCGGUAAACGGCGGCCGUAACUAUAACGGUCCUAAGGUAGCGAAAUUCCUUGUCGGGUAAGUUCCGACCUGCACGAAUGGCGUAAUGAUGGCCAGGCUGUCUCCACCCGAGACUCAGUGAAAUUGAACUCGCUGUGAAGAUGCAGUGUACCCGCGGCAAGACGGAAAGACCCCGUGAACCUUUACUAUAGCUUGACACUGAACAUUGAGCCUUGAUGUGUAGGAUAGGUGGGAGGCUUUGAAGUGUGGACGCCAGUCUGCAUGGAGCCGACCUUGAAAUACCACCCUUUAAUGUUUGAUGUUCUAACGUUGGCCCCUGAUCGGGGUUGCGGACAGUGUCUGGUGGGUAGUUUGACUGGGGCGGUCUCCUCCUAAAGAGUAACGGAGGAGCACGAAGGUUGGCUAAUCCUGGUCGGACAUCAGGAGGUUAGUGCAAUGGCAUAAGCCAGCUUGACUGCGAGCGUGACGGCGCGAGCAGGUGCGAAAGCAGGUCAUAGUGAUCCGGUGGUUCUGAAUGGAAGGGCCAUCGCUCAACGGAUAAAAGGUACUCCGGGGAUAACAGGCUGAUACCGCCCAAGAGUUCAUAUCGACGGCGGUGUUUGGCACCUCGAUGUCGGCUCAUCACAUCCUGGGGCUGAAGUAGGUCCCAAGGGUAUGGCUGUUCGCCAUUUAAAGUGGUACGCGAGCUGGGUUUAGAACGUCGUGAGACAGUUCGGUCCCUAUCUCGCCGUGGGCGCUGGAGAACUGAGGGGGCUGCUCCUAGUACGAGAGGACCGGAGUGGACGCAUCACUGGUGUUCGGGUUGUCAUGCCAAUGGCACUGCCCGGUAGCUAAAUGCGGAAGAGAUAAGUGCUGAAAGCAUCUAAGCACGAAACUUGCCCCGAGAUGAGUUCUCCCUGACCCUUUAAGGGUCCUGAAGGAACGUUGAAGACGACGACGUUGAUAGGCCGGGUGUGUAAGCGCAGCGAUGCGUUGAGCUAACCGGUACUAAUGAACCGUGAGGCUUAACCUU
RNAcentral lists this ribosomal RNA (2903 nucleotides) under Escherichia coli. Its description in RNAcentral is "23S ribosomal RNA". It matches the Rfam family "Bacterial large subunit ribosomal RNA". Lineage: Bacteria; Pseudomonadati; Pseudomonadota; Gammaproteobacteria; Enterobacterales; Enterobacteriaceae. The record is from RNAcentral.